GCCAUAGCUUAGUGGCAGAACAUCUGUUUUGGAUGCAGAAGGUACUAGGUUCAAUCCCAAGCAUCUCCA
Podarcis lilfordi (Lilford's wall lizard) is the source of this 69-nucleotide non-coding RNA. The record is from the annotation of a GenBank genome assembly. Lineage: Eukaryota; Metazoa; Chordata; Lepidosauria; Squamata; Lacertidae.